CACGUAGUUAGCCGUGGCUUUCUAAUUAGGUACCGUCAAGAUGUGCACAGUUACUUACACAUUUGUUCUUCCCUAAUAACAGAGUUUUACGAGCCGAAACCCUUCAUCACUCACGCGGCGUUGCUCCGUCAGGCUUUCGCCCAUUGCGGAAGAUUCCCUACUGCUGCCUCCCGUAGGAGUCUGGACCGUGUCUCAGUUCCAGUGUGGCCGAUCACCCUCUCAGGUCGGCUACGUAUCGUCGCCUUGGUAAGCCGUUACCUUACCAACUAGCUAAUACGGCGCGGGUCCAUCUAUAAGUGAUAGCAAAACCAUCUUUCACUUUAGAACCAUGCGGUUCUAAAUGUUAUCCGGUAUUAGCUCCGGUUUCCCGAAGUUAUCCCAGUCUUAUAGGUAGGUUACCCACGUGUUACUCACCCGUCCGCCGCUAACUUCAAAGGAGCAAGCUCCUUAUCUGUUCGCUCGACUUGCAUGUAUUAGGCACGCCGCCAGCGUUCAUCCUGAGCCAGGAUCAAACUCU
This 517-nucleotide ribosomal RNA is filed under the name uncultured Staphylococcus sp. RNAcentral's name for it is "partial 16S ribosomal RNA". Lineage: Bacteria; Bacillati; Bacillota; Bacilli; Caryophanales; Staphylococcaceae. The record is from RNAcentral.